Molecule: long non-coding RNA, 2077 nt
Organism: Balaenoptera ricei (Rice's whale)
Lineage: Eukaryota; Metazoa; Chordata; Mammalia; Artiodactyla; Balaenopteridae
Exons: 6
Source: RefSeq, a predicted model, not a curated record
GCUCGGUAGUUGAGAGCGCGGCGUGCAGCCCGGGCCCCUUGCGGCUUCUCCUGCGCGUUUGCAGGUUACAAACAAAACCGAUGCUUAAGGCGGGGAGGGGGGCAGGGUGUCUUGAGUUUUCACCAGAGCCUAUCGCAGCGUUGCCAGGAAGCCAGUGGCCGACUUCAGAGUCACACAGUGUUUCACUUGGACCUACGUGGUUAUCACCAAAAUGAGGUUUCAAACACACUGUCCUGUUGGGAUUUAUUAUGAGGAAUUGGCUCACAUGAUUAUGGAAGCUGAGAAGUCCUAAGAUCUGCUGUCUGAAAGCUGGAGACCCAGGAAAGCCAGUGGUGAAGUCCAAUCUGAAUCCCCGAAGGCCUGAGGGCCAGAGGAGUGCAUGGUGUAAACCCCUGUCCAAGGGCAGGAGGAGACAGAUGUCCCAGCUCGAGCAGUCAGCUUCCAGGUGACGCUGCUGAGCUUCGGACCACACUCUGAGCAGCGAGAUGCUAGGACAGCGAUUCUCAAACAGGUGAUUUUGGCCUCCAGGGGACACUUGGCAACGUUGCGGAGACAUCUUUGACUGUUACAGCUGGGGUGGUGCUACUGGGUGGAGACCAGAGACGUUGCUAAACAUCUUACUAUGCACAGAACGGCCCUCAGAACAAAGAAGGAUCUUGCCCCAAAGGUCCACAGUGCCAAGGCUGAGAGCCCUGCUCUAGAACGAUCUUCGAAUUUGCCGUGCGCAUCUGUUCUCCCGGCCCUAUGGAUGUGGCCAGAAGGAUCUCGAAGGGGAUGGGCCUGGCGGCGCUCCUGGGCAUUCCCACUGCUUGCCUUUGGGGAUGGGCAGCUCCUGCUCCUGUAGGACUGCGCGUGCGUCUAGGACUCAGGUCCUAGGAGGAUGAACUUGGUGUGCAAACUGGAGGGCUCAAGUACGAAGUCUCAGGUUUAACCUCAGGCAGCUGAAGAGUCUAUUUUGACCAAGGCAGCGGUAGAGUUGCAGCACCAGACCCAUCAGCUGGGGCCUGGCAUUCACUUCAGUGCUUUCAGUUAGACUCUGAAGCGUCUGGGAUGAGCCACAACCUUUCUCCACUUCCCUCCACGUUGGCCUAGACCCCUGGCUUCUGCCCCAUUUUCUUCUUAAGUGUUUUGAUUAAUCUGAAUCCCAUCCACUUGGCUGAGACCUUGAUUAAUCUAGAAACACCUGCCCCAGUGGGUGUUUUCUAUUCCCAUGCCCCACAGCAGUAUGAGAGUGUACUCUUGCCCCUCUUGUGGGACUGACCUGCCGUAGAUGGUCGCUGACCUUCAUCAAGCCUGAAAUGGUUACGCCCCUUGGUCCACAGUGCUUGGGGUUAACACUGCCUUAGCCUCAGGGAUAAGCCCUGUAAUACAGCCAGUUCCUCUGGUUCUGGUCCCUCCCAGCCCAGGCUGCCACCCGCCUCCCUAGGGAGCCCUCUAAAAGUUCACGACUUCUCACCAGUCAAGGGAGGGAGGCACUUAACCUUCUUUUUUGGUUUUUGUUGUUUGUUCGUGUUAAAAUGUUGUUUUGAUCUUCCAAAUAAUUUAUGUAGCAAGCGGGGUAUAUAUUUUAAUCCCAUUUGAGCAAAGCACCCCAGUGACUUUCCCUAACGCCACAGUGCUACUAAAGUGGCGGGGCCAGGGCUUAAACCCGGGUCAUGAAACCAUAGAUCUUUAGGGCUUGAAAGGCCUUUAAAAGUCAUCUAAUCCAGCCAAGUAAACGAAACCUGGAUCUCCUCCAUAACACCUCUGCCAAGUAGUUAACUAGCCUGUAUUUGAAUGCCUUCCCUCACAGGACAGCUUGGUUCAUCUCUGGCUACUUGCGACAGUCAUUUGUUUAAUCAUCUCACACUCUUUUAUUCAUCAAACAAGUAUUUCAGGGCCUAAUAUGGGCACCAUCAGGUGUCAUGUGGCUAUUGAGGUAAUUUCUGGAAGUAAAUUUAGUUAAAGAUAGAAAGUGGAAAGUUCUACAGGAGGGGUACUGAUAAAGUGCUAUGGAAACUGUUGGAAAUUUCUUCCUUCUACUGACCUGAAAACUGUCUUACUGUGUAGCUUCCAAAAUUUGGUCUUAAUUCUGUUC